RNAcentral lists this ribosomal RNA (439 nucleotides) under uncultured bacterium. RNAcentral describes it as "partial 16S ribosomal RNA". It matches the Rfam family "Bacterial small subunit ribosomal RNA", at positions 339 to 795 of the family's 1533-position model. The record is from RNAcentral.
CUACGGGUUGCAGCAGUGGGGAAUAUUGCACAAUGGAGGAAACUCUGAUGCAGCAACGCCGCGUGGAGGAUGACACUUUUCGGAGCGUAAACUCCUUUUAUAUAGGCAGAAGAUGACGGUACUAUAUGAAUAAGCGCCGGCUAACUCCGUGCCAGCAGCUGCGGUAAUACGGAGGGCGCAAGCGUUACUCGGAAUCACUGGGCGUAAAGAGCGUGUAGGAGGAUUAAAAAGUCAGAAGUGAAAUCCUAUAGCUUAACUAUAGAACUGCUUCUGAAACUCUUAAUCUAGAAUGUGUGAGAGGUAGAUGGAAUUUCUGGUGUAGGGGUAAAAUCCGUAGAGAUCAGAAGGAAUACCGAUUGCGAAGGCGAUCUACUAGAACAUUAUUGACGCUGAGACGCGAAAGCGUGGGGAGCAAACAGGAUUAGAUACCCUUGUAGUC